UACGAACUGUGCAAACGUUAUUCGGAAUCACUGGGCUUACAGGGUGCGUAGGCGGUCUGUUAAGUAGGGUGUGAAAGCCCCCGGCUCAACCGGGGAAUUGCGCCCUAAACUGGCGGACUGGAGUGAGAUAGGGGUGUGCGGAACUUCCGGUGGAGCGGUGAAAUGUGUUGAUAUCGGAAGGAACGCCGGUGGCGAAAGCGGCACACUGGAUCUCAACUGACGCUGAGGCACGAAAGCCAGGGGAGCGAACGGG
Molecule: ribosomal RNA, 253 nt
Filed under: uncultured bacterium
Lineage: Bacteria
Also listed under: 1 other name
Description: partial 16S ribosomal RNA
Rfam family: Bacterial small subunit ribosomal RNA
Source: RNAcentral